CGGUAUUGGUCCGCCUUUGCAACGAAAUUUGUAUCAAUUGGGAAAGAACUAGCGUGUGCAUCUUAUGGCGUUCUGACCCUGAGUCCUCAGUCCUCAUCCAAACUGCCCUUCGCUACUGCUGCCUCCCUCUAAUAAUCGAAAAUAUAGUUUUUUUUGUAGCUAGAACUAGAAGACAGUAUUGAGCAAGAAAGUAGAAGAUGUUUGGAUCUGCAGUUAGAUACUUUUCAACGAAACCAAAGCCCAAAAUGAAACCUAUAGAGCUCAAAACACCACCUGAGCAGACACAUACCAUAACAAGGGCAAUCUUUGACAUUGUGAAGGAGCAUGGCCCUCUUACCGUUUCAGAAACUUGGGAAAGGAUUCAGGAAGUUGGCCUUAGAGGAUUGACAGGAAAAAGACAUAUGAAAAUAGUGUUGAGAUGGAUGAGAGAGAGGCAGAAACUUAGGUUAAUCUGCAAUCAUAUAGGGCCUCACAAGCAAUUUCUUUACACAACUUGGUUCACGAAGCCUGCUGUCAAACAUGCAAAAGUCGUGAAUACUCCUUCACCACCGAGGUUCCCUUGAAAUUGCACAGUUUGUACUGCCUUGAGGAGCUUUUACAAAUUAUUGUAUCAUUCUAUUGUCUGUCUCUUACAAUCACCCAGUAAUUUAUGCGGAACAAGUUAAAUGUCAGCCAUCUUCAUGCUUAUUUGUUAUUCCUUACAAAUCCAAUGUAGGUACUUGAUGUUUGAGUAGCUUUUGAUUUGGUUGGUCGUUUGCUUAUCUGCUUUGUGCAGGCUAUUAAAACUAUAGAGUUGAUUUAUCUAGCUGUUGGAGAAGAUUUGAAGGUGACUGGACAUGAGAUUCUAUAGAUGAAAUGAAUUAGAAAUGGAGCUAAGCUCAGAAAUCUGCCUUGGAAUUCUAGUAA
Molecule: unclassified non-coding RNA, 906 nt
Filed under: Hevea brasiliensis (rubber tree)
Lineage: Eukaryota; Viridiplantae; Streptophyta; Magnoliopsida; Malpighiales; Euphorbiaceae
Source: RNAcentral